AACGCUGGCGGMWGGCCUAACACWUGCAAGUCGAGCGGUAGCACAGAGAGCUUGCUCUCGGGUGACGAGCGGCGGACGGGUGAGUAAUGUCUGGGAAACUGCCUGAUGGAGGGGGAUAACUACUGGAAACGGUAGCUAAUACCGCAUAACGUCGCAAGACCAAAGUGGGGGACCUUCGGGCCUCAUGCCAUCAGAUGUGCCCAGAUGGGAUUAGCURGUAGGUGGGGUAACGGCUCACCUAGGCGACGAUCCCUAGCUGGUCUGAGAGGAUGACCAGCCACACUGGAACUGAGACACGGUCCAGACUCCUACGGGAGGCAGCAGUGGGGAAUAUUGCACAAUGGGCGCAAGCCUGAUGCAGCCAUGCCGCGUGUGUGAAGAAGGCCUUCGGGUUGUAAAGCACUUUCAGCGGGGAGGAAGGCGGUGAGGUUAAUAACCUCRYCGAUUGACGUUACCCGCAGAAGAAGCACCGGCUAACUCCGUGCCAGCAGCCGCGGUAAUACGGAGGGUGCAAGCGUUAAUCGGAAUUACUGGGCGUAAAGCGCACGCAGGCGGUCUGUCAAGUCGGAUGUGAAAUCCCCGGGCUCAACCUGGGAACUGCAUUCGAAACUGGCAGGCUAGAGUCUUGUAGAGGGGGGUAGAAUUCCAGGUGUAGCGGUGAAAUGCGUAGAGAUCUGGAGGAAUACCGGUGGCGAAGGCGGCCCCUGGACAAAGACUGACGCUCAGGUGCGAAAGCGUGGGGAGCAAACAGGAUUAGAUACCCUGGUAGUCACGCUGUAAACGAUGUCGAUUUGGAGGUUGUGCCCUUGAGGCGUGGCUUCCGGAGCUAACGCGUUAAAUCGACCGCCUGGGGAGUACGGCCGCAAGGUUAAAACUCAAAUGAAUUGACGGGGGCCCGCACAAGCGGUGGAGCAUGUGGUUUAAUUCGAUGCAACGCGAAGAACCUUACCUGGUCUUGACAUCCACAGAACUUUCCAGAGAUGGAUUGGUGCCUUCGGGAACUGUGAGACAGGUGCUGCAUGGCUGUCGUCAGCUCGUGUUGUGAAAUGUUGGGUUAAGUCCCGCAACGAGCGCAACCCUUAUCCUUUGUUGCCAGCGGUUAGGCCGGGAACUCAAAGGAGACUGCCAGUGAUAAACUGGAGGAAGGUGGGGAUGACGUCAAGUCAUCAUGGCCCUUACGACCAGGGCUACACACGUGCUACAAUGGCAUAUACAAAGAGAAGCGACCUCGCGAGAGCAAGCGGACCUCAUAAAGUAUGUCGUAGUCCGGAUUGGAGUCUGCAACUCGACUCCAUGAAGUCGGAAUCGCUAGUAAUCGUAGAUCAGAAUGCUACGGUGAAUACGUUCCCGGGCCUUGUACACACCGCCCGUCACACCAUGGGAGUGGGUUGCAAAAGAAGWAGGUAGCUUAACCUUCGGGAGGGCGCKACCAYWGGUGAUCAUGACYGGKU
This 1451-nucleotide ribosomal RNA is filed under the name Klebsiella variicola. RNAcentral's name for it is "bacterial SSU rRNA". It matches the Rfam family "Bacterial small subunit ribosomal RNA". Lineage: Bacteria; Pseudomonadati; Pseudomonadota; Gammaproteobacteria; Enterobacterales; Enterobacteriaceae. The record is from RNAcentral.